UUACGGCCAUAUCACGUUGAAACAUCGGUUUUCGUCCGAUCACUGAAGUUAAGCAACGUCAAGCCUGAUCAGUACUGAGAUGGGUGAUCGCUUAGGAAUACCAGAUACUGUA
Molecule: non-coding RNA, 112 nt
Organism: Acanthosepion pharaonis
Lineage: Eukaryota; Metazoa; Mollusca; Cephalopoda; Sepiida; Sepiidae
Source: the annotation of a GenBank genome assembly